Molecule: ribosomal RNA, 246 nt
Filed under: uncultured bacterium
Lineage: Bacteria
Description: partial 16S ribosomal RNA
Rfam family: Bacterial small subunit ribosomal RNA
Source: RNAcentral
CGGAAGGUCCGGGCGUUAUCCGGAUUUAUUGGGUUUAAAGGGAGCGUAGGCCGGAGAUUAAGCGUGUUGUGAAAUGUAGACGCUCAACGUCUGCACUGCAGCGCGAACUGGUUUCCUUGAGUACGCACAAAGUGGGCGGAAUUCGUGGUGUAGCGGUGAAAUGCUUAGAUAUCACGAAGAACUCCGAUUGCGAAGGCAGCCCACUGGAGCGCAACUGACGCUGAAGCUCGAAAGUGCGGGUAUCGA